This 253-nucleotide ribosomal RNA is filed under the name uncultured bacterium. RNAcentral's name for it is "partial 16S ribosomal RNA". It matches the Rfam family "Bacterial small subunit ribosomal RNA", at positions 524 to 776 of the family's 1533-position model. The record is from RNAcentral.
UACAGAGGUCCCAAGCGUUGUUCGGAUUCACUGGGCGUAAAGGGUGCGUAGGUGGUCGGGUAAGUCUGAUGUGAAAUCUCCGAGCUUAACUCGGAAACGGCAUCGGAUACUAUUCGGCUGGAGGGUUGGAGGGGGGACUGGAAUACUUGGUGUAGCAGUGAAAUGCGUAGAUAUCAAGUGGAACACCAGUGGCGAAGGCGAGUCCCUGGACAACUCCUGACGCUGAGGCACGAAAGCCAGGGGAGCAAACGGG